Molecule: non-coding RNA, 29 nt
Filed under: Rattus norvegicus (Norway rat)
Lineage: Eukaryota; Metazoa; Chordata; Mammalia; Rodentia; Muridae
Source: RNAcentral
UAAGUGCCCUUUGUAUGCCUGAUGCUGUC